This 457-nucleotide ribosomal RNA is filed under the name uncultured bacterium. RNAcentral's name for it is "bacterial SSU rRNA". It matches the Rfam family "Bacterial small subunit ribosomal RNA", at positions 39 to 469 of the family's 1533-position model. The record is from RNAcentral.
GGCCGCGGGAAUUCGAUUCAGGCCUAACACAUGCAAGUCGAGCGAAUGAUGAAGAAGCUUGCUUCUUCUGAUUUAGCGGCGGACGGGUGAGUAACACGUGGGCAACCUGCCCUGUAGAUUGGGAUAACUCCGGGAAACCGGGGCUAAUACCGAAUAAUCCAUUUCCUCUCAUGGGGAGAUGUUAAAAGACGGUUUCGGCUGUCACUACAGGAUGGGCCCGCGGCGCAUUAGCUAGUUGGUGAGGUAACGGCUCACCAAGGCGACGAUGCGUAGCCGACCUGAGAGGGUGAUCGGCCACACUGGGACUGAGACACGGCCCAGACUCCUACGGGAGGCAGCAGUAGGGAAUCUUCCACAAUGGACGAAAGUCUGAUGGAGCAAAGGCGCGUGAGUGAAGAAGGUUUUCGGAUCGUAAAAUCUCAGGGUGAGGGAAGAACAAGUACGAGAGUAACUGCUC